RNAcentral lists this ribosomal RNA (492 nucleotides) under uncultured bacterium. RNAcentral's name for it is "partial 16S ribosomal RNA". It matches the Rfam family "Bacterial small subunit ribosomal RNA", at positions 29 to 507 of the family's 1533-position model. The record is from RNAcentral.
AUUGAACGCUGGCGGCAUGCUUUACACAUGCAAGUCGAACGGUAACAGGCCUUCGGGUGCUGACGAGUGGCGAACGGGUGAGUAAUGCAUCGGAACGUACCCAGAGGUGGGGGAUAACGCAGCGAAAGCUGUGCUAAUACCGCAUGUGAUCUGAGGAUGAAAGCGGGGGACCGAGCAGCAAUGUUUGGCCUCGCGCCUUUGGAGCGGCCGAUGUCGGAUUAGCUAGUUGGUGGGGUAAAGGCCUACCAAGGCGAGGAUCCGCAGCCGGUCUGAGAGGACGACCACCCACCCUGGGACUGAGACACGCCCCAGGCUCCUACGGGAGGCCGCAGUGGCGAAUUGUGGACAAAGGUCGCAAGCCUGAUCCAGCGAUGCCGCGUGCGGGCAGAAGGCCUUCGGGUUGUAAACCGCUUUUGGCAGGAACGAAACGGUGUCCCCUAAUACCGGGCGUUAAUGACGGUACCUGCAGAAUAAGCACCGGCUAACUACGUG